AGUGACAAGAAAUAACAAUACAGGGCCUAACGGUCUUGUAAUUGGAAUGAGUGAAGUAUAAACCCCUUUACGAGUAUCAAUUGGAGGGCAAGUCUGGUGCCAGCAGCCGCGGUAAUUCCAGCUCCAAUAGCGUAUAUUAAAGUUGUUGCAGUUAAAAAGCUCGUAGUUGGAUUUCUGUUGUAUUUUUAUAAUGUUACUAAGGUAACAUUAUAAUAACAACAUCCUUCCCAAUAUAUUUUUUAAUAUAUGGGAAAUUUUACUUUGAGAAAAUUAGAGUGCUUAAAGCAGG
Molecule: ribosomal RNA, 289 nt
Filed under: Cryptosporidium environmental sequence
Lineage: Eukaryota; Apicomplexa; Conoidasida; Eucoccidiorida; Cryptosporidiidae
Description: partial small subunit ribosomal RNA
Rfam family: Eukaryotic small subunit ribosomal RNA
Source: RNAcentral